CCCGAGACUAGAGUCACAUCCCGACAGUUCUUGUCCUGGUGUGCUACAGUCCUCGGAGAGAAUCUGCUGGUCUCGAUUCACUGGCGAGGGCAGUCAGUGCCCCUGUGAGUGCCCAGAUCAGAAACAUGC
Molecule: small nucleolar RNA, 129 nt
Organism: Catagonus wagneri (Chacoan peccary)
Lineage: Eukaryota; Metazoa; Chordata; Mammalia; Artiodactyla; Tayassuidae
Source: Ensembl